CCUACGGGAGGCAGCAGUGAGGAAUAUUGGUCAAUGGGCGAGAGUCUGAACCAGCCAAGUAGCGUGCAGGAUGACGGCCCUAUGGGUUGUAAACUGCUUUUAUAAGGGAAUAAAGUGAGUCUCGUGAGACUUUUUGCAUGUACCUUAUGAAUAAGGACCGGCUAAUUCCGUGCCAUGCAG
RNAcentral lists this ribosomal RNA (180 nucleotides) under uncultured bacterium. Its description in RNAcentral is "partial 16S ribosomal RNA". It matches the Rfam family "Bacterial small subunit ribosomal RNA", at positions 338 to 514 of the family's 1533-position model. The record is from RNAcentral.